CGCGCAGGCGGUCGUACAAGUCGAAUGUGAAAGCCCCCGGCCUAACUGGGGAGGGUCAUUCGAUACUGUUCGACUCGAAGGCAGGAGAGGGAAGCGGAAUUCCCGGUGUAGUGGUGAAAUGCGUAGAUAUCGGGAGGAACACCAGUGGCGAAGGCGGCUUCCUGGCCUGUUCUUGACGCUGAGGCGCGAAAGCUAGGGUAGCAAACGGGAUUAGAUACCCCGGUAGUCCUAGCCGUAAACGAUGGACACUAGGUGUUGGCGGUAUCAACCCCGCCAGUGCCGUAGCUAACGCAUUAAGUGUCCCGCCUGGGGAGUACGGCCGCAAGGCUAAA
Molecule: ribosomal RNA, 332 nt
Filed under: uncultured bacterium
Lineage: Bacteria
Description: bacterial SSU rRNA
Rfam family: Bacterial small subunit ribosomal RNA
Source: RNAcentral